Long non-coding RNA from Syngnathus acus (greater pipefish), 692 nucleotides. RefSeq lists it as uncharacterized. The transcript has 2 exons. The record is from RefSeq and is a predicted model, not a curated record. NCBI's taxonomy places the organism in Eukaryota, Metazoa, Chordata, Actinopteri, Syngnathiformes, Syngnathidae.
GAUGGGACCGGCUCGUUUCUGAGAAACAAGCUCAGUGCUCCCACUAAUUCAACGUAAUGUGCUCCCCAAACCGGCCCGGAGACGUCGUCGGAGAGCGGCCAAGUUAAAGAUUCUCCACGUCAAGGGGCUACGUUAGCCGCCGUUGCAAGUAGCAUGGCUGUGUGUUUGCAAGCAUGUCAUAGCUCGGCGGCGUUAGCUUAUGCUAGGCUAACUGUAGCUAGCCUCACCGCAAUCUGUUCAGACGCCAGGUCCGACCUACAUCUCUUGCCAUUGGCUGGUUUUAGGAAUGAACGCCCUUCUGAUUGGACGAAUGGGUUGUAGGCAAUCUCUUGACAUCUGUCGACGUCAUUGCACGAACGUAAUGAUUUUGCACACAUUAUUAGAAAAACUGGCAAGACAUUCUACGUUAACAAUUUUUAAUUUAAUCUUAAAUGGGGAAAAAACACAAAAGUUAAAGUUUACGUUCCCCUAAACGUAUUUGAUUGAAAAAAAAUCUGUUAGAGGUAAAAUCUUUUUUUUGCCAAAUUCACAUUUUGGAUUUGAGGUGAUCAACAUUGACUAAGGAAGCAAACAUGCAACGUGACGUAUUAUUUAUUCUAAAUUCAAUUAAAGUUGUACCGAUUGUGAUGGAGUUUAUCGCGACUGUGAAUGUUUAAAAACUGAAUUAUUUCAUAAACCAACACUAAAUACUU